CCUACGGGAGGCAGCAGUGGGGAAUAUUGCACAAUGGGGGAAACCCUGAUGCAGCGACGCCGCGUGAGUGAAGAAGUAAUUCGUUAUGUAAAGCUCUAUCAGCAGGGAAGAAAAUGACGGUACCUGAGUAAGACGCCCCGGCUAACUACGUGCCAGCAGCCGCGGUAAUACGUAGGGGGCAGGCGUUCUCCGGAUUUACUGGGUGGAAAGGGAGCGUAGACGGGAGUGCAAGUCUGGAGUGAAAGGCGGGGGCUCAACCCCCGGACUGCUCUGGAAACUGUACGGCUGGAGUGCAGGAGAGGUAAGUGGAAUUCCUAGUGUAGCGGUGAAAUGCGUAGAUAUUAGGAGGAACACCAGUGGCGAAGGCGGCUUACUGGACUGUAACUGACGUUGAGGCUCGAAAGCGUGGGGAGCAAACAGGAUUAGAUACCCGUGUAGUC
Molecule: ribosomal RNA, 440 nt
Filed under: uncultured bacterium
Lineage: Bacteria
Description: partial 16S ribosomal RNA
Rfam family: Bacterial small subunit ribosomal RNA
Source: RNAcentral